AGUGAACGCUGGCGGUAGGCCUAACGCAUGCAAGUCGAACGGCAGCACAGUAAGAGCUUGCUCUUACGGGUGGCGAGUGGCGGACGGGUGAGGAAUACAUCGGAAUCUACUUUUUCGUGGGGGAUAACGUAGGGAAACUUACGCUAAUACCGCAUACGACCUACGGGUGAAAGCAGGGGAUCUUUGGACCUUGCGCGAUUGAAUGAGCCGAUGUCGGAUUAGCUAGUUGGCGGGGUAAAGGCCCACCAAGGCGACGAUCCGUAGCUGGUCUGAGAGGAUGAUCAGCCACACUGGAACUGAGACACGGUCCAGACUCCUACGGGAGGCAGCAGUGGGGAAUAUUGGACAAUGGGCGCAAGCCUGAUCCAGCCAUACCGCGUGGGUGAAGAAGGCCUUCGGGUUGUAAAGCCCUUUUGUUGGGAAAGAAAAGCAGCAGGUUAAUACCCCGCUGUUCUGACGGUACCCAAAGAAUAAGCACCGGCUAACUUCGUG
This 492-nucleotide ribosomal RNA is filed under the name uncultured bacterium. Its description in RNAcentral is "partial 16S ribosomal RNA". It matches the Rfam family "Bacterial small subunit ribosomal RNA", at positions 29 to 507 of the family's 1533-position model. The record is from RNAcentral.